Molecule: ribosomal RNA, 753 nt
Filed under: Lepraria friabilis
Lineage: Eukaryota; Fungi; Ascomycota; Lecanoromycetes; Lecanorales; Stereocaulaceae
Description: SSU rRNA
Rfam family: Bacterial small subunit ribosomal RNA
Source: RNAcentral
AUAGCUGAUUGCACCAACAAAUGGUUGAUGCAAUAUUGACUCUGUCAAAUAAAAUUCUAGGUAGAAUUAUGAUAAUGACAUUGUCUGCCUAUAUGUCUUGACCAAAUUACGUGCCAGCAGUCGCGGUAAUACGUAGAAGACUAGUGUUAUUCAUCUUUAAUAGGUUUAAAGGGUACCUAGACGGUAAAUCAAGCCUUCAUAGGGACUAAUUUACUAGAGUUACUUACGAGGGGGUAUUAAAGUACUGCAGGUGUAGAGAUGAAAUUCUGUCAUACCUCUUUUCAAAAGAAAAAUUAUGGCACAGGUAUAGGUGAAAGCAUCCCCUUAUGUGAUAACUGACGUUGAAGGACGAAGGCUUUGUGUCGCGAACAGGAUUAGAUACCCCAGUAGUCAAAGCAGAAAAUGAUGAAUGUCAUAGAUUAGAUAUAUAAUUUAUUCUAUAAAUGAAAAUGUAAGCAUUCCACCUCAAGAGUAAUUUGGCAACAUUGGAACUGAAAUCAUUAGACCGUUUCUGAAACCAGUAGUGAAGUAUGUUGUUUAAUUUGAUGAUCCGCAAAAAACCUUACCACAAUUUGAAUAUUUAUAUCUAUCUUUUUUUUCGUAAACAAAUAAAAAGGUAAUAUAUUUACAAGCGUUGCACGGCUGUCUUCAGUUAAUGUCGCGAGACUUUGGUUAGUUCCAUUUAAUUAACGUAAACCCUUACUUUAUUUUUAUAUGAAGUAGUUCCCCACUAUAUUGGAUAUGAUAACAGGG